RNAcentral lists this ribosomal RNA (505 nucleotides) under uncultured bacterium. RNAcentral's name for it is "partial 16S ribosomal RNA". It matches the Rfam family "Bacterial small subunit ribosomal RNA", at positions 28 to 507 of the family's 1533-position model. The record is from RNAcentral.
GACGAACGCUGGCGGCGUGCCUAAUACAUGCAAGUAGAACGCACAGUUUAUACCGUAGCUUGCUACACCAUAGACUGUGAGUUGCGAACGGGUGAGUAACGCGUAGGUAACCUGCCUGGUAGCGGGGGAUAACUAUUGGAAACGAUAGCUAAUGCCGCAUAAUAUUGAUUAUUGCAUGAUAAUUGAUUGAAAGAUGCUAUUGCAUCACUACCAGAUGGACCUGCGUUGUAUUAGCUAGUAGGUGAGGUAACGGCUCACCUAGGCGACGAUACAUAGCCGACCUGAGAGGGUGAUCGGCCACACUGGGACUGAGACACGGCCCAGACUCCUACGGGAGGCAGCAGUAGGGAAUCUUCGGCAAUGGACGAAAGUCUGACCGAGCAACGCCGCGUGAGUGAAGAAGGUUUUCGGAUCGUAAAGCUCUGUUGUAAGAGAAGAACGGGUGUGAGAGUGGAAAGUUCACACUGUGACGGUAUCUUACCAGAAAGGGACGGCUAACUACGUG